GUACUGAUGAAGAGUCCCAAAAUAGGACGAAACAGAUGUCCAGUAC
Molecule: non-coding RNA, 46 nt
Filed under: Trichobilharzia regenti
Lineage: Eukaryota; Metazoa; Platyhelminthes; Trematoda; Strigeidida; Schistosomatidae
Source: RNAcentral